Molecule: non-coding RNA, 4098 nt
Organism: Rattus norvegicus (Norway rat)
Lineage: Eukaryota; Metazoa; Chordata; Mammalia; Rodentia; Muridae
Source: RefSeq, a predicted model, not a curated record
UGUCCAGAAACAUAUUUCACAUAAACUUCUUGAAAUCCUAACACUAAGCUCGACAAAUAAUAGUGGUUGAGUAAGAAAGUAAGGUCUAAGAAUUAGCUAAGGAAGCACUCAUUCUGGUCUCUACCCCUACACUAAAUUACUGUAUGUUCUUCAUGGUCCAGCUGAGGCCUCAAGUCCCUGUGUUCUAUCUGAACAGAAUGAAGAGAGAACCCAAGUUCAGUUCCCAGCACCAGUUUCAGGCUCCUCACAACUGGCAAUAACUCCAGCUCCAAGGAUCCAUGGCAACUUCUGGUCUCUGAACAGAUCUGGAUGUACAACUCCCAGCUCCUUCUCCAGCACUAUGUCUGCCUGCACGCCGCCAUGCUUCCCACCAUGGUGAUAAUUAUCUAAACCUCUGAAACUGUAAGCCAGACCCAAUUAAAUAUUUUUCGGUUUUUUUUUUUUUUUUUUGGUUUUGCUUUGUUUUGUUUUUAUAAGAACUGCUGUGGUCAUAGUGUCUCGUCAUAGCAAUAGAAACCUCAAAUAAGACAGAAAUUGGUACCAGGGACUAGGGUAUUCCUAUAAUAGGCUUGAGUGUGUUUUUGGUUGGAGGAAUGUAUAGUUUAAACUUUGGAAGAGAAAAGUAGCUGAAUACUUUAAGUGGGACUUAAUGGGCCAUCACAGUAGGAACAAAGAAGACAGCAGUGCUGGGGUGAUUUGAACUGUAGAGGCCUGAGUUCAGGAGGUUUCAGAGAAGAAUGUGGCCUAGAAACUAUUAUAUUUUGGUGAAGAAUGAGGCUGCUUUCUGCCCUUAUCCAAAAAAAAAAAAAAAAAACUGCCGGAGGCUAAAUUUACGUCUUUUGAAUUAAUUACAUUUGCAGAAGAAAUGUCAAAACAACUUAGUAUUGACUCUAUCACGUCAAUUAUUAGUGUUUAUCAUGUGGUUAUUAGUGUUUAUGCUUGUGAAAAUUUUAUAAUAAAAAGGAGCAAGCUAAGCAAGGAGAAAUAUAAAAUAUAGAAGAUGAAGAGCAAAGGGCACUGGGAAGUGGAAAGGAGUUAAGUCCUGUAUUCAAGGAGAUAAAAGAUUAAUGAAAAGCCUGCUGCUAAGGGAAAUAAAGGGAGUGGUGAUCUCAGAGCAAGACCCCCACCCAGCUAAGCUUCUGACUUGUAAAAAAAUGUAGUUAAAUAAAUGUGAAAAUGAAUUAAAGGAAAGCUUCAGGCCAGGCAUGGUGUGCAUACCUUUAAUCCAAAGAAAGAGGCUGGUAGAUCUCUAAGUUCAAGGCCAGUCUGGUCUACAGGGCAAGUUCCAGGACAGCCAAGCUUAGGCAGUGAAGGAACCCAUAGGAAACUAAGAGCUGGUAAAAACAUUUUCGAACAAGGGGGCUACGUUCCACUCUCAGGAAGCAGUAGAGCUUAGCAGCUUCAGUCAUGUAUGGUUUUGGCUUUAAAGUCAAGGAUAGAAGAAAGGAGUUAUGGAAACUCCCUCUGAGACUAACAAAAGCUUUUGAGGCCAGGCACGUGUCAGGAUUGUCCCUACGUGGGAGGCCUAGAGAGGCCACUGUGUGAAGCUAUGAUAUGAAGCCUGUAUUGCUCAGAGGCUCCAAGAUAAUGGAGAUGCUAGAGUUGUGGGAUGUCUGCCAAGGAAGUUUACUACCAGGAGUGGAAUAGCCCAAGAGAAAGAAGCGUGUUGCAGUCAACAAAGCUGAAAGGACUUGGAGAUCCAAUGAAUGUUUUGACAUCAGACAUGGAGAUGCAGAGUUUGGAGUCUGCUCAGAUGGCUGUCAGUCUUGCUUUGGUAUUUCCUCACUGUGCCCCCUUUGGGAGUUGUUAUAUGCAUCCUGUGCACUGUAUAUUAUAAGUAUGUGAUCUGCUUCUCACUUUAAUUUUACAGGGGAUUACAGUUAAGAGAUUGAAUAAGUCUCAGAACUGAGUUUGAACUUUAUAUUUUUAAAUAGUGCUGAUACUGUCAUAGGCUGUGGGAACUUUUGAAGUUAAACUAAAUGCAUUUUGCAUCAUGAUAUGGCUACAAGUUUAUGGGAGCCAGAGUGUGGAAUGUGGUUAUUUAAAAUAAAAAUGCUCCCCCCAAGGGUCCAUAGCAAGUGGCACUAUUAGAAUAUGUGGCCUUGUUGGAAUAUGUGUGGCUUUGUCCUAGGAAGUAUGUCACUAGGGUCUGGGCUUUCAGGUCUCAGCUCAAAACCAGGCCUAGUGGCACACAGUCACUUCUGCCACCUAAUUCAGAUGUAGAACUCUUAGUAGCUCCAGCACCGUGUCUGCCUGCACGCCACUAUGCUUCCCACCAUGUAGAUAACGGACUAAACCUCUGAAACUCUAAGCCAGAACCAAUUACAUGUUUUCCUUUAUAAGAAUUGCUGUGGUUGGGGCUGGAGAGAUGGCUCAGAGGUUAAGAGUACUGACUGCUCUUCCAGAGGUCCUGAGUUCAAUUCCCAGCAACCACAUGGUGGCUCACAACCAUCUGUAGUGAGAUCUGAUGCCCUCUUCUGGUGUGUCUGAAGACAGCUACAGUAUACUCAUAUAUAAUUAAUAAAUCUUAAAAAAAAAAAGAAAAAAAAAGAAUUGCUGUGGUCACAGUAUCUCUUCACAAUAAUAGAACCCUAAAUAGGACAAAUCCUCUUCACCACUAAGCCAUCUUUCCAGCACCCAACAACCACAAUUUUACUAAAACCAUAUUUUACUAAAACCAAUUUUACUAAACCCAGUGCUAGUAGAAAGACCACCGUUGUGGUACUAGUUGUAGUAUCCUGAAAGUGGAAUCACUUUUGUUCUCUAUAUUCUAAUUUUCCUAUUGACAUAGCUGCAAUUUACACACACCAAUCCUUACUACAAUAGUGAUGACUGUCUAACUCACAUCACACUUGCAUAACGAUCAACACACCAAAGAGGAUAAACUAUGUAGCCAGUAACAAAGCAGUUUUCCCUUGCACUGACCUCUCAGAAUAUGCAGUAGAAGAAAAAGACUUACUCAGAGUCUGUUAAAAUGUAAUGGGAAGGAACAAAGAUGAGUUAACAGAGAAAAUUUGAAUAAAUGGAAGAAUACUUUCCUUGAAAAGCAAAGAUGUCUGUUAUAAAUUUCUCAGUUCUCUACCAAUUUGUAACUGUCAUGAAAAGCCAAUCAAAACCUCAUUUGCCUUUCUGAAAUUUGAAUUCUGUUCCAACAUAUUUAGGAAAAUAAACAAAAAUCCAGAGCAUUUUUUCAGAACAAUGGUCUGAGCACUUGCUUUUUUGUCAAGUUCCCUAAAGUUGUUCCCUGAACAACUAACUACGAGUAGAUGAAAUAAGAACACAGGGAUGUAAAUGGGCGUACACGUGUGUAAAUGCUUUGACUCCAUGCCCAUGUGUGCAGGAGUCAGAUAUUCAAAACACCCAAUGAAAUACUUCAAAUCACACCCUGCUCGCAAGUUGGGAACUAAGAAUUAAAGCAGAAAUGAAUCAUUUCUUUGGGCACAGUAACUAAAACCAUGGAGUCUAAAAAUAAACUAAUUUCACAUCUGGGCUCAAAUAGAAUGCUUCCUACCUAGCAAUGUGCUUUCUCCUCCUUGUGUGCCUCAGCUUUCCUAAUCCCUAAGCCAAAAAUACAUGACAUGGAGAAAGGGAAAAUGUCUUCUCCCGGGACAAGCCUUCUGGUAUGUUGCCCAAUCCCAAUUGGUCAACUGGUCCCAUCUACUCCUCUGUCUCCUGCACUCCCUCUCAACUUCCUGACUCCUUACCAGUUACACUGUGUGUGUGUGUGUGUGUGUGUGUGUGUGUGUGUGUGUGUGUGCACAAAUAUCACCAGUUGAGUGGGUGCUCAACACCAUUCAGUGCAGCUCAUAUGCACAUAUGUUGAAGGCUGACACUUGGGGUUAGAUAGCCUGUUAGGAAGUUCAUUCCCAGAGAAGACUAAUCCUCUUUCAACGUCCAUCAAUUACCUACAGUCCUUCGUCUAGGGAUGGGGUCUUGUGAGAUUUCCUACAUUCAGGUUACGAAGUGUGUAAGUCUUGUUUAGAAGAGUGUGUUGCUAAGAUUUCAAGGGGAUGGGGGGUUUAUAGACAGGAAACUGGGAAGGGGAAUAAUAUUUGAAAUGUAAGUAAAGAAAUAUAUCUAAUAAAAAUUUAAAAAAUA